AUCCAGAUGACGAGCCCCAAACAGGACGAAAUGCGCAUUUUGGAU
RNAcentral lists this non-coding RNA (45 nucleotides) under Trichobilharzia regenti. Lineage: Eukaryota; Metazoa; Platyhelminthes; Trematoda; Strigeidida; Schistosomatidae. The record is from RNAcentral.